RNAcentral lists this ribosomal RNA (553 nucleotides) under uncultured archaeon. Its description in RNAcentral is "bacterial SSU rRNA". It matches the Rfam family "Archaeal small subunit ribosomal RNA", at positions 326 to 879 of the family's 1478-position model. The record is from RNAcentral.
CGGGGUGCAGCAGGCGCGAAAACUUUACAAUGCGGGAAACCGUGAUAAGGGGACACCGAGUGCCAGCAUCAUAUGCUGGCUGUCCAGGUGUGUAAAAUACACCUGUUAGCAAGGGCCGGGCAAGACCGGUGCCAGCCGCCGCGGUAACACCGGCGGCCCGAGUGGUGAUCGUGAUUAUUGGGUCUAAAGGGUCCGUAGCCGGUUUGGUCAGUCCUCCGGGAAAUCUGACGGCUCAACCGUUAGGCUUUCGGGGGAUACUGCCAGGCUUGGAACCGGGAGAGGUAAGAGGUACUACAGGGGUAGGAGUGAAAUCUUGUAAUCCCUGUGAGACCACCUGUGGCGAAGGCGUCUUACCAGAACGGGUUCGACGGUGAGGGACGAAAGCUGGGGGCACGAACCGGAUUAGAUACCCGGGUAGUCCCAGCCGUAAACGAUGCUCGCUAGGUGUCAGGCAUGGCGCGACCGUGUCUGGUGCCGCAGGGAAGCCGUGAAGCGAGCCACCUGGGAAGUACGGCCGCAAGGCUGAAACUUAAAGGAAUUGGCGGGGGAGCAC